Molecule: transfer-messenger RNA, 408 nt
Filed under: Patescibacteria group
Lineage: Bacteria
Also listed under: 3 other names
Description: UBA12086 sp002784795 Standard tmRNA
Rfam family: transfer-messenger RNA
About the family: Bacterial tmRNA, also known as 10Sa RNA or SsrA, is named for its dual tRNA and mRNA-like properties.
Source: RNAcentral
GGGGAUGACAGGGUUCGAUAUGUGGACCUUGAUAUCAUUCAUAUGCAUGCCGAGUAUGUAUAUCUGCUCGUACCCACCGAUAUACACAUUACAAGUGCAAACCUUGUUACCCGAGUGAAGACCGCUCUUGCUUCGGCAUUCAGCGCGCCUGCAUUCGCAGCUGUCGUCGCCUAAAGGCUUGAUGACCAUCGCAUCGCACGAUACUCGAUAUCGCGAAGGCGGUGCCAACCCCCAUCGAGUGUAGGAUAUACUGACACCUGGGUGGUAUAUCUGAACCUUUGCCUCAGGUUUUCACACAUGCCUUUUUGUUCCUUUCCUAGGCACGUGUGGCGAUACCAAAGGAACUUAGCAUGAAGAUUAUGCUGGUAUCCCAUGUAGACCCGGGUUCGAUUCCCGGCAUCUCCACGA